UACGAAGGGGGCUAGCGUUGCUCGGAAUUACUGGGCGUAAAGCGCACGUAGGCGGAUUUCUAAGUCAGGGGUGAAAUCCUGGAGCUCAACUCCAGAACUGCCUUUGAUACUGGCGAUCUUGAGUCCGGAAGAGGUGAGUGGAACUGCGAGUGUAGAGGUGAAAUUCGUAGAUAUUCGCAAGAACACCAGUGGCGAAGGCGGCUCACUGGCCCGGUACUGACGCUGAGGUGCGAAAGCGUGGGGAGCAAACAGG
Molecule: ribosomal RNA, 253 nt
Filed under: uncultured bacterium
Lineage: Bacteria
Description: partial 16S ribosomal RNA
Rfam family: Bacterial small subunit ribosomal RNA
Source: RNAcentral